Cervus elaphus (red deer) is the source of this 921-nucleotide long non-coding RNA. RefSeq lists it as uncharacterized. The record is from RefSeq and is a predicted model, not a curated record. NCBI's taxonomy places the organism in Eukaryota, Metazoa, Chordata, Mammalia, Artiodactyla, Cervidae. The transcript has 3 exons.
CCGGCCGCUCCGGCGGGGCUGCCCCGCGGCUCCUGCUCGUCCGAGCCGGGCCCGGGCGGAGUCCGCAGGAUCUUCAUGGGCUCUCCGCUGGGGGAAGCUCGUCUGGAGCUCGGGAGCGGGCGGGACGCUCGCCGUCGUUUCAGAGCCUGGGGUUCGAAUCCCAGCUCCUCCAUAGAGACUUGGCGACCUUGGAUGACCGGUCUCGGGGCCUCAGUUUCCCCUCUCGGGUGAGACACCCAGGAGGCGGAGGAAAGGUUGCGGACCCUUCGGGGCGAUCCACCGCUGCCCUGCACGGAGCUGACGCUCAACAAGGGCUGUUGAAUCAAUGUUUUCUUACAGGUGGAACCAUCACGAGGCUGUUACCAGGCAGAUAACUGAGGUGACAGAAAUUCUCUAUUAGUAAAAGCUAAGACCAUGCUAAUAGUGGUCUGAUGUCCUGACCUACUCAGACAGAAACAGAGAACAAACAACCCCAAUGGGUCAGAUGUCCUGGCUGAGGGCCAAAGCACAGAGACCCUAUGGCCAGUAAACUACCCUUCAGCACGGCGGAGCACUUCUCUUUUCACCUUAUGCGCUUAAAAAAUCAACCUCGGCUGUCCACAAGACAGCGCAUCACUAUGGUGACUGCCAUCAUCACUCACAAUUUAACUAAAUGUUACGGGGAAAUCAUAAACUUCAAAAAUAAAAUGAUUAUUUCUUGGAAACCUGAGUUAAAUGCUUUGACAUGACUUGAUAAAAGCAAGUCAUUAAAAAAAAAUCACUCUCACAUUAUCAGGACAACUAACAACUAUAAAAGAUUUGGGGAAAAAUGAUAAAAUUUAAGAUUUUUAAAGUCAGACUGCUUUUCAAGUAUCUUUACAUUUUGAUCCACCAUGAAUGGAAAUUGCAGAUGAUUCCCCAUGUGAAGUUCUUAGUCCUAAG